This 1103-nucleotide long non-coding RNA is filed under the name Medicago truncatula (barrel medic). Its description in RNAcentral is "long non-coding RNA (MTRU_LNC004277)". Lineage: Eukaryota; Viridiplantae; Streptophyta; Magnoliopsida; Fabales; Fabaceae. The record is from RNAcentral.
UUGGGUAACAUAAUUAUUUCAAAUUUAUGUCGAUAAUUAUACAUUUUCUAAUUGUAGGUAGUCAUUUGAUUACAUUUAUAAAUUCAAAUUGUAAUUUUAAAAGUGAAAACAUCAACUAAUUUUUAGACUAAUAAUUGAGGUCGAUUCUAGUAAAAAUUGAAUACCUGUUUCUUUCAUGACUUCUUAGAACAUCAACUAUCUAAUACUUGUUCAGAAUUUGGCAUCUUUUUUCUAGCCUGCUUUAUUGCAUUCCUCUCUAAUUUAUUAGAUAUUUUCAUAACCAUUAUUCUCCACAUCGUGCAUCCACUUGGAAGAAGAGUAUUUUUAUCCACAUAAAAAUGUUCACUUUUGCUAACUUGGACCUUCAUACUUUUUUGUUGGUUUAAGUUAGCAAACCUAUAUAUAUAGGAUUUGGAUUAAUAUAUAUAGGAUGGAUUCGUUGACUUGAUAAGUAACUCUUUAGACUUACUCCUAAUUUUGACCAUUGAUUCUAAUAUUAAUUCAUGGCUAUGAUUAAUCACCUAAUGAUGUCUAUCAUAAUAUUUUUUUAUACUCGUGCAACACUCAUGAGAAACAAAUCAAUUUUAGCAAGAAAAACAACCCAUACAUAGUCAAUUUUGGCAAAUCAAUUAUCUAAAACAACAAAAUUUGGCAAAUCAACUUUUAUCUAUAAGUAAUUUAUAACAUCUAAACUUCCAUCAUCUAAAAGUUAAAAAUUGAUGUCUAAUUAGUUAUUGAAGUAAUCGAUAUAAAAUUCCAUCGUCUAAAAAUAGUUAAUAUCAAUAUUAGAUGAAUCGGUUGCCUAAUAGCUUCAAAUAAUUGGCUACUUCACUGGAAGGUUGAAUAUUGUUGAAUCAUAUUAUUGGCAUCCACAAGGGAUGUCUUCAAUUGAAAUGGGUUGUUUAACCUAAAAAAUUAUUACACGCUUAACGUUGAUUAUAUGAUAUUGAUGACAUUGAUCUAUUUGUGGGUGUCGAUUGAUACUUUUUUUUAAAAAAAAGAUAUGGAUUGAUAAUUUGAUGAUAAGAGAAGUCAAUUAUUUUACGGUCUCAAGAGUGCUUGCAGAUUGCAAAGGAAGAAGAUUGUGAAGGAAGAAGGAGUAU